Molecule: long non-coding RNA, 1024 nt
Filed under: Apteryx owenii (little spotted kiwi)
Lineage: Eukaryota; Metazoa; Chordata; Aves; Apterygiformes; Apterygidae
Description: lncRNA (ENSAOWG00000002852.1)
Source: RNAcentral
CAAGAGGACCCUGCACUGCCCUGAUCUUCAGAGAAAUAGUAACCGGCCUCCGUAAUCGCUGGCGUAGAUGUUAUGUACACACGGGCUCUCACCCUUCGAUAGGUGCUGAGGAUCUGGAUGGGGUUAUUGCUAGUAUUGCCUCUUUCAUGUGUUUCCUCUUGUACUUUAGGGCAUGGCUGACAGACCACUGAGCAACACUGCUGAGCACCGCGGACGCGAGGUGGGAGCCCCAUCUCACCAGUCUUCCAGCCCCAUCACUUUUAAUCAUCAUCUAAGUCCUAAGAAAAGAGGCAAGUUUUGGAAACUGUCUGAGGAAGAUGUUUCCGCAAAGGCAGGGUCAACAUUUCCUUCUCUCCAUACUGCAGCAAGCCUUUUGGAGAGCGCUGCAGAAAGCAGAAGACUUUCGAUCCCUUCCCCUCCUUCCAGCCGGUAUACGUACACACACACACACACACACCUGUGUGCAACCAAAAUAGAAAGAGUGCUACAGGAAACGGAUCUCACUGCAGUUCUCUAGCAACCCAUCAGAGUGCUAAUUGGAUGAUCUUCACGAUUUCUCUGUGAAGUAGCCCCAACGUCCUCGGCUGAUGUGAGGCUGCAAAGGCCCAGCUGCCACGCGGGCUCGCUCUGCCCCAUCUGCCAAACCCAUCCUGAGCCGCCGGCCUCACUUAGGACGGAUUGAAAGGAAGACAAAUGAAAUCGUGAAGUUACCGCACUGGAGUCGAAGGUGUAUUUACACUCCAUCUUUUUUCCUCUGGGCUGACAGUACAUGUGAAAUUCAGUAUCAGUUGUUUCUUCGGAGUUGAAUAGACAAACUACCUGGAAUUUCUGGUCUCUUCUUGGAUAAGCUUGUAGAGGACAGACUGAAACAUUUUUGCAGAUAUUUUGGGAGUAUUUGUCAGCAAACUGGGAUCGCUUAACAGUUCAUAAGGAGAAAAAAAGGGGGCACAAAUAUUAUAGAAGACACAGCCAAAGACUUAGGUAUACAAAUAAAUAGGAUUUGCUAAGUUCUCUUGGUGAGGCC